This is a long non-coding RNA of Myotis lucifugus (little brown bat), 301 nucleotides long. RefSeq lists it as uncharacterized. The transcript is spliced from 3 exons. NCBI's taxonomy places the organism in Eukaryota, Metazoa, Chordata, Mammalia, Chiroptera, Vespertilionidae. The record is from RefSeq and is a predicted model, not a curated record.
CCCAAUCUGCAAAUAAACCCCAGGCUGCUGCUCCUGGCCAAAAGCCAUCCUUCGUCCCAGGUUUUCUAUACUACAGUUCUGGUGCUCUGCUAUGUUACUUAUUUCAAAAAGUUACUGGGUUUCCCAAAAUCAACCAAGCAACAAACUCUUCCUGUCUCCAGAAUGACAGAUCUGCUACCCAGUAUUUUGAGAAGUAGAGCUUUUGUAAAUUGGACAGAGGCUAAAUUGACUUGGAGUUUUUUCAAACAGUCUUUCUUGAAACAGAUUUUGACAGAAGGUGAGUAAAAGGUUAUCCUGAGCA